Molecule: ribosomal RNA, 253 nt
Filed under: uncultured bacterium
Lineage: Bacteria
Description: partial 16S ribosomal RNA
Rfam family: Bacterial small subunit ribosomal RNA
Source: RNAcentral
UACGAAGGGGGCUAGCGUUGCUCGGAAUCACUGGGCGUAAAGGGUGCGUAGGCGGGUCUUUAAGUCAGGGGUGAAAUCCUGGAGCUCAACUCCAGAACUGCCUUUGAUACUGAAGGUCUUGAGUUCGGGAGAGGUGAGUGGAACUGCGAGUGUAGAGGUGAAAUUCGUAGAUAUUCGCAAGAACACCAGUGGCGAAGGCGGCUCACUGGCCCGAUACUGACGCUGAGGCACGAAGGUCAGGGGAGCAAACGGG